RNAcentral lists this unclassified non-coding RNA (334 nucleotides) under soil metagenome. Its description in RNAcentral is "partial contains 5.8S ribosomal RNA, internal transcribed spacer 2, and large subunit ribosomal RNA". The stretch from base 1 to 120 matches the Rfam family "5.8S ribosomal RNA", at positions 35 to 154 of the family's 154-position model. The record is from RNAcentral.
GAUGAAGAACGCAGCGAAAUGCGAUAAGUAAUGUGAAUUGCAGAAUUCAGUGAAUCAUCGAAUCUUUGAACGCACAUUGCGCCCGCCAGUAUUCUGGCGGGCAUGCCUGUUCGAGCGUCAUUUCAACCAUCAAGCCCCCGGCUUGUGUUGGGGACCUGCGGCUGCCGCAGGCCCUGAAAAGCAGUGGCGGGCUCGCUGUCACACCGAGCGUAGUAGCAUACAUCUCGCUCUGGGCGUGCUGCGGGUUCCGGCCGUUAAACCACCUUCAUAACCCAAGGUUGACCUCGGAUCAGGUAGGAAGACCCGCUGAACUUAAGCAUAUCAAUAAGCGGAG